AGUGAACGCUGGCGGUAGGCCUAACACAUGCAAGUCGAACGGCAGCACAGUAAGAGCUUGCUCCUACGGGUGGCGAGUGGCGGACGGGUGAGGAAUACAUCGGAAUCUACUUUUUCGUGGGGGAUAACGUAGGGAAACUUACGCUAAUACCGCAUACGACCUACGGGUGAAAGCAGGGGAUCUUCGGACCUUGCGCGACUGAAUGAGCCGAUGUCGGAUUAGCUAGUUGGCGGGGUAACGGCCCACCAAGGCGACGAUCCGUAGCGGGUCUGAGAGGAUGAUCAGCCACACUGGAACUGAGACACGGUCCAGACUCCUACGGGAGGCAGCAGUGGGGAAUAUUGGACAAUGGGCGCAAGCCUGAUCCAGCCAUACCGCGUGGGUGAAGAAGGCCUUCGGGUUGUAAAGCCCUUUUGUUGGGAAAGAACAGCAGCAGGUUAAUCCCCCGCUGUUCUGACGGUACCCAAAGAAUAAGCACCGGCUAACUUCGUG
This 492-nucleotide ribosomal RNA is filed under the name uncultured bacterium. Its description in RNAcentral is "partial 16S ribosomal RNA". It matches the Rfam family "Bacterial small subunit ribosomal RNA", at positions 29 to 507 of the family's 1533-position model. The record is from RNAcentral.